This is a non-coding RNA of Echria macrotheca, 88 nucleotides long. NCBI's taxonomy places the organism in Eukaryota, Fungi, Ascomycota, Sordariomycetes, Sordariales, Schizotheciaceae. The record is from the annotation of a GenBank genome assembly.
GCCCGGCUAGCUCAAUCGGUAGAGCGUGAGACUCUUAAGGAGUAUUCCGUAAAUCUCAAGGUUGGGGGUUCGACCCCCCCGUCGGGCU